GGUUGGUCCAGGUGCAGUGGUGUUUGCAGCUAAUUGAUCACAACCAGUUACAGAUUCCUUUGUUCCUUCCCCACUCCCACUGCUCUACUUGACCAGCCUAAA
This 102-nucleotide Y RNA is filed under the name Microcebus murinus (gray mouse lemur). Its description in RNAcentral is "Y RNA (ENSMICG00000046850.1)". It matches the Rfam family "Y RNA". From Rfam's summary of the family: Y RNAs are components of the Ro ribonucleoprotein particle (Ro RNP), in association with Ro60 and La proteins. The Y RNAs and Ro60 and La proteins are well conserved, but the function of the Ro RNP is not known. In humans the RNA component can be one of four small RNAs -- hY1, hY3, hY4 and hY5. The record is from Rfam by way of RNAcentral. Lineage: Eukaryota; Metazoa; Chordata; Mammalia; Primates; Cheirogaleidae.